Molecule: ribosomal RNA, 253 nt
Filed under: uncultured bacterium
Lineage: Bacteria
Description: partial 16S ribosomal RNA
Rfam family: Bacterial small subunit ribosomal RNA
Source: RNAcentral
UACGUAGGCAGCAAGCGUUGUUCGGAGUUACUGGGCGUAAAGGGUGCGUAGGCGGCUUUUUAAGUCUGGUGUGAAAUCUCCCGGCUCAACUGGGAGGGUGCGCCGAAUACUGAAUGACUAGAGUGCGGGAGAGGAUAGUGGAAUUCCUGGUGUAGCGGUGAAAUGCGUAGAUAUCAGGAGGAACACCGGUGGUGUAGACGGCUAUCUGGACCGUAACUGACGCUGAGACACGAAAGCGUGGGUAGCAAACAGG